This 474-nucleotide ribosomal RNA is filed under the name uncultured organism. RNAcentral's name for it is "partial 16S ribosomal RNA". It matches the Rfam family "Bacterial small subunit ribosomal RNA", at positions 333 to 797 of the family's 1533-position model. The record is from RNAcentral.
ACACUCCUGCGGGAGGCAGCAGUGGGGAAUUUUGGACAAUGGGCGAAAGCCUGAUCCAGCAAUGCCGCGUGAGUGAAGAAGGCCUUCGGGUUGUAAAGCUCUUUUGUCAGGGAAGAAACGGUGAAAGCUAAUAUCUUUUGCUAAUGACGGUACCUGAAGAAUAAGCACCGGCUAACUACGUGCCAGCAGCCGCGGUAAUACGUAGGGUGCAAGCGUUAAAUCGGAAUUACUGGGCGUAAAGCGUGCGCAGGCGGUUUUGUAAGUCUGAUGUGAAAUCCCCGGGCUCAACCUGGGAAUUGCAUUGGAGACUGCAAGGCUAGAAGCUGGCAGAGGGGGGUAGAAUUCCACGUGUAGCAGUGAAAUGCGUAGAUAUGUGGAGGAACACCGAUGGCGAAGGCAGCCCCCUGGGUCAAGAUUGACGCUCAUGCACGAAAGCGUGGGGAGCAAACAGGAUUAGAUACCCGGGUAGUCCCA